This 253-nucleotide ribosomal RNA is filed under the name uncultured bacterium. RNAcentral's name for it is "partial 16S ribosomal RNA". It matches the Rfam family "Bacterial small subunit ribosomal RNA", at positions 524 to 776 of the family's 1533-position model. The record is from RNAcentral.
UACAGAGGUGGCGAGCGUUGUUCGGAUUUACUGGGCGUAAAGGGCGCGUAGGCGGUUCGGUAUGUCGAGUGUGAAAUCUCCAGGCUCAACCUGGAAAGUGCGCUCGAAACUGCUGAACUAGAGCAUGGGAAGGGAGAGCGGAAUACACGGUGUAGCGGUGAAAUGCGUUGAUAUCGUGUAGAACACCGGUGGCGAAGGCGGCUCUCUGGAACAUGUCUGACGCUGAGGCGCGAAAGUUGGGGGAGCAAACAGG